This 2005-nucleotide long non-coding RNA is filed under the name Lathyrus oleraceus (garden pea). RNAcentral describes it as "Pisum sativum (pea) long non-coding RNA (PSAT_LNC000355)". Lineage: Eukaryota; Viridiplantae; Streptophyta; Magnoliopsida; Fabales; Fabaceae. The record is from RNAcentral.
CCUCUAGCAUAAUAACCAGAUUGCAACUAACUACCAUGUUAAAGACAUAACAUUGCAAGCAUCUCUAACAGCCUAGCAAAUGGCAGAUUUCGUUUCAAUUCAAUUACACCAUAACAAACAUUGCUUUAAUAUUCACCAUAGCAUAAUUCAUGUUCAAAACUGACCGUCAACAUUGCAUAAAAGCUAACUGCAUCAAUUUCUAACAACAUAAUUCCAUUAACAGCAUAACAUAAAUUCUACCCAAAUCAUAACAAACGGAUUCCCAAAAAACACUUCAGCUAAAUCUAACUCUAACUCUUUAACAUUGCUAACAAUUUACUAACAUCAACUUAACUUGUUGCUAACAAGAGUUCAAAACAAUCAAUUGUUGCAGUGUGAAUAAAAUGAGGCAAAAGGAAAACAACGAACAAGCAGGUUUCGGUUUAACUCAAUAACCUGUUAAUCAAGCCAAACCAAUUAACAUUUCUAGCUUCACUAACAAAUCCAAUCUAACUAAGCAACUCAGCAGACCAUCACCCUGCAACCUGCAUCAAUAAGUCAUCCUGCAGUGUGUCAAAACAACUCAAAAACUUACAACUCAAAAUCAUACCAGUUCAGCAGGUCAACAUCAAAUCCAAUAUCACAUUUCCAUUUAACUUCAAAGAAAAGCAACCUGCAAUAUUCAGUCAAUACCCAAUUCACUAACUAACAUCAAAUGAAUCCCUAAUCUAACUAACAGAAAACCAAAUAACUAACAUUUUCAGUUAACACAUAAAUAACUGUAACAGAUCAAUCCUAACUAACUAUUUUGCAUGACUCACAGAGUUAACAAACUAUAACUGAUUUGCUCAUCAGAAAACUAAUAGAGUCAAGCUCUAUUAAAAGCUGAAACUCUAUAAAUUCACUUGACCACCACCAAUUUCAGGGACCCCCAAUCAUUCCCCACAAUUCACAAGACUCAAUCUUCAUCUUCCUCACUGAAAUCUUCUCCCUCACCCCAAAGCUUUCUUUCUCCAUUGUUUCUCAGAGCUUCACAUUGAAGCUCUGAAACAACAAGACCUGAACCUCUCAAUUUCUGAAUCUCUAUCCCACAAUUCAAUCUCUAUUCUCCUCAUACAAUCAACGAUUACGCAAUUUCAAGAACAACACACAACAUCAACAAUCACAACAAAGAGUAUAAAACGAAGAAGAAGAAGAAGAAGAAGAAGAAGAGAUCACAGUGAUAUAGAAGUGAAGAUUGGAGAAUUUACCUGGUAGAGCCUCUGGUAUUUUCUGUAUUUGUUUGCUUCGAACUCGAGACUCAUCAAACCUGCGGUGUCCGAGGUUAAUUACUCAUCAAACCUUUCCACAUCCCCUUUCUGGAACAAUUAACAACCUUGGGCUUCCUCUUGAGCCCAUUAAUAGUUCAGCUGCUAUCCACACCUUGCUAGAUGAUACACCCCAAGGCCCAUGUUUUUUUCCUUUUAUAUUUCUCUUUGUUAUUUUUCUUGGUAUUUUUGGUAGUUUUUUUUAUUAUUAAUUAUUUCUUCUCUUUACUUUUUUACCAUGAAAGUUAGAAUGAAAUGCAUGUGAUUAUUGGUUAAUAUUCACUUAGAAAUUGAUGUGAUUAGGGUGAUAAAUGGUUUCUUAAUGAUUUUGAAUCGUUUUGAUUAGAUUGAAUAAAAAUACAUUUGCAUGAUAAUGCAAUUUGGUCCAUAAUAUGAUUUGGCCACUUUGGAUAGAUAUCCAUGAUUACAUGCUUUCUUAGAUAAUUUUAGCCACGUUUGGUAUAUGUUCAUGAAUUUUUUUUUUGCCUUAGGAUUUUAGAUCCCUAAUCCUAGUUCAUUGUAUAUAAUUUUCAAUUAAAUUCAUUCCUUUUGAUUAAGUUGAUCGAAAGAUAUUUUUGAUCAACUAAAUCCUUUGAUUGUGUAUGAUUCCCAAUCUUAUUCAAGUGGUCAAAAAACCCUUAAUCACUUGAUAAAGCAAGUCCCCUGUAUUCAAGAUGCACUCGACCUCGGGAGCCGAAGAUAUCAGGAUUAAGAUUCAA